ACUAGCGAGCGUACAGUGAAACGGUAGACGACGAACGAGCGACGAUUACGACCAGCAUAUACUACACUUCUGUACAGAAGCCCCAGCCCCCCUCGUUACAUUUUCGAUGGAGGACGUGCAUCGCCUCGUGUGCAACUCAUCUGGACGACCGCGACGACACGAACGCGAAAAACAAUGCAGACCGAAUCAUGCUAGACAUGAAGCGGCGUCAAAAACAAGUCAAAGGAAUACAUGUUACGUAUGAAAUAUCAGCAAGAAUCAGAGAGAAAGACGGAAAAACAAUUACGGACUUACCGGUGAU
Long non-coding RNA from Bombus impatiens (common eastern bumble bee), 301 nucleotides. RefSeq lists it as uncharacterized. The transcript is spliced from 3 exons. The record is from RefSeq and is a predicted model, not a curated record. Lineage: Eukaryota; Metazoa; Arthropoda; Insecta; Hymenoptera; Apidae.